AUACGUAGGGUGCAAGCGUUAAUCGGAAUUACUGGGCGUAAAGCGUGCGCAGGCGGUUUUGUAAGUCAGAGGUGAAAGCCCCCGGCUCAACCGGGGAAUAGCCAUUGAGACUGCCAGGCUUGAGUGCGGAAGAGGGGGGUGGAAUUCCGCGUGUAGCGGUGGAAUGCGUAGAUAUGCGGAGGAACACCGAUGGCGAAGGCAAUCCCCUGGGCCUGCACUGACGCUCAUGCACGAAAGCGUGGGGAGCAAACAGGAUUAGAUCCCCUGGUAGUCCACGCCCUAAACGAUGUCAACUGGUUGUUGGGGAUUUAUUUUCUCAGUAACGAAGCUAACGCGUGAAGUUGACCGCCUGGGGAGUACGGCCGCAAGGUUAAAACUCAAAUGAAUUGGCGGGG
RNAcentral lists this ribosomal RNA (395 nucleotides) under uncultured bacterium. RNAcentral's name for it is "partial 16S ribosomal RNA". It matches the Rfam family "Bacterial small subunit ribosomal RNA", at positions 523 to 918 of the family's 1533-position model. The record is from RNAcentral.